Molecule: ribosomal RNA, 194 nt
Filed under: uncultured bacterium
Lineage: Bacteria
Description: partial 16S ribosomal RNA
Rfam family: Bacterial small subunit ribosomal RNA
Source: RNAcentral
ACUCCUACGGGAGGCAGCAGUGAGGAAUAUUGGUCAAUGGACGAGAGUCUGAACCAGCCAAGUAGCGUGAAGGAUGACUGCCCUAUGGGUUGUAAACUUCUUUUAUAAGGGAAUAAAGUGAGGGACGUGUCCCUUUUUGUAUGUACCUUAUGAAUAAGGAUCGGCUAACUCCGUGCCAGCAGCCGCGGUAAUAC